This 579-nucleotide ribosomal RNA is filed under the name uncultured Basidiomycota. RNAcentral describes it as "eukaryotic LSU rRNA". The stretch from base 156 to 309 matches the Rfam family "5.8S ribosomal RNA". The record is from RNAcentral. Lineage: Eukaryota; Fungi; Basidiomycota.
ACGCUUGAGUGUCUCUGCUUCGGCAAGCCUCUCGCACCCUUCACAUCCAUAACACCUGUGCACUGUAAGAACUUUGAACUCUUCGGAGUUUGGGGUUCUGACCUUUUUACAAAACAAUUAUAUGUAACAAAUGUAGUCUUAUUAUAACAAAAUAAAACUUUCAACAACGGAUCUCUUGGCUCGAGCAUCGAUGAAGAACGCAGCGAAACGCGAUAGGUAAUGUGAAUUGCAGAAUUCAGUGAAUCAUCGAAUCUUUGAACGCAUCUUGCGCUUGCUGGUAUUCCGGCAAGCAUGCCUGUUUGAGUGUCAUGAAAAUUAUCAACUAUGACUUGGGUUUAGGCCCCUGUCUUAGCUUGGAUUUGGGUGCUUGCGGUAACUCUGUGUGCUGCUCACCUUAAAUGGAUUAGCUGGACAUGUCGUGAGACUUGGUUCUACUUGGCGUAAUAAGUAUUUCGCUGAGGACAUCCCUUUAUUGGGGUGGCCAGGACUCUUGACAAACGUCUGCUUUCUAACUCUCAUUGUUCCCACUCCAGGGACUUGAACUUUUAUGAUCUGGCCUCAAAUCAGGUACGACUACCC